UAAUGUAAAAGGCAGCGUUAGAGAAAUCUAAGCGUACGCAAAGCUAUAGGGCCUGUAAAAUGGUAGCCAGUUGUCAUU
This 78-nucleotide non-coding RNA is filed under the name Haloplasma contractile. Its description in RNAcentral is "c-di-GMP sequence". It matches the Rfam family "c-di-GMP-I riboswitch aptamer". Rfam says of the family: GEMM was predicted in a large-scale screen for bacterial structured RNA regulatory elements. Genes associated with GEMM are involved in a diverse array of functions, including chemotaxis regulation, signal transduction, secretion and chitin. The record is from RNAcentral. Lineage: Bacteria; Bacillati; Mycoplasmatota; Mollicutes; Haloplasmatales; Haloplasmataceae. RNAcentral also lists the same sequence under 1 other name.